This is a non-coding RNA of Calothrix sp. HK-06, 62 nucleotides long. Lineage: Bacteria; Bacillati; Cyanobacteriota; Cyanophyceae; Nostocales; Calotrichaceae. The record is from Rfam.
UGGUAGAUGCACCCUGAUAACUCACUCCCCUAGUAGACUGCCAUCCGCUAGGGGUUUUUUUA